Anthonomus grandis grandis is the source of this 470-nucleotide long non-coding RNA. RefSeq lists it as uncharacterized. Lineage: Eukaryota; Metazoa; Arthropoda; Insecta; Coleoptera; Curculionidae. The transcript is spliced from 2 exons. The record is from RefSeq and is a predicted model, not a curated record.
AAAAAAAAAAUACUGUAUUUAAUAGUAUUAAUACUUUUUUAAGUAUGAAUUCAUCGCGUAAAAAUCCAGAAUAUAAGUGGGGUUGUCAAGCAGAAGCAGGGAUUCAAUCUAAUAACCCACCUGCACCAACUAUUGAUAAUUCGUGGGGAAAAAAAAGGCAUGAGGAGGCAUCUGAUACAGCAUGGGAUAAAAUGGAACCUGCUGCUGCUGCUGCUGCUGCUGCUGAUGCUGCUUGUAUAGCAGUACCCAUUGAUAAUUCGUGGGAUGAAAUGUCACCUGUUCCAACUUAUAAUCCUCAACUGUAUAUAACUGCAAACAUGGUUCUUAGACGUCCUCCUCCUAAAAUGUCAAGAAGCGAAAAAAGAAAAUUCAAACUAGAUGAACGAAAGAGGAUGCAGACACUUGGACGGAUGUAAUUUUUUUAAAUAAUUGGUUAAAUUGUAUUUUAAAUAAAAAGCAAUAUUCAAACA